CACGUAGGGGGCAAGCGUUGUCCGGAUUUAUUGGGCGUAAAGAGCUCGUAGGUGGUUCGGUAAGUCAGGUGUGAAACCUCCAGGCUCAACCUGGAGACGCCACUUGAUACUGCUGUGACUGGAGUCCGGAAGAGGAGAGUGGAAUUCCUGGUGUAGCGGUGAAAUGCGCAGAUAUCAGGAAGAACACCCGUGGCGAAGGCGGCUCUCUGGGACGGUACUGACGCUGAGACGCGAAAGCGUGGGGAGCGAACAGG
RNAcentral lists this ribosomal RNA (254 nucleotides) under uncultured bacterium. RNAcentral describes it as "partial 16S ribosomal RNA". It matches the Rfam family "Bacterial small subunit ribosomal RNA", at positions 524 to 776 of the family's 1533-position model. The record is from RNAcentral.